Long non-coding RNA from Setaria italica (foxtail millet), 600 nucleotides. RefSeq lists it as uncharacterized. The record is from RefSeq and is a predicted model, not a curated record. The transcript has 2 exons. NCBI's taxonomy places the organism in Eukaryota, Viridiplantae, Streptophyta, Magnoliopsida, Poales, Poaceae.
CCAGAAUGUAGUGUUUCUUUUCUUCCUCCAAGCCAAAUACUGUUCGCACUGCCGCAACCUCGGACCAUCCUGAUGCUCUUCCAGAAGAAGGCGCCAGCUCCCAAGCUUCAGUCGAAGACACGCCCAAGCCCAAGCCCAACAAACCUGAUGCUCUUCCAGAAGAAGGUGCUGGCUCCCAGGCUUCAGUCGAAGACUCGCCCAAGCCCAAGCGCCGGCGCAAGCCCAACAAACCUGAUGCUGUUCCAGAAGAAGGCCCCGGCUCCCAAGCUUCAGUCGAAGACUCGCCCAAUCCCAAGCGCCGGCCCAAUCCCAACAAGACUUAAGCUGGCCCAGAAUGGAAAGUCUAGCUAUAAGAUGUAGCGACUAGUGAGCGCGUCUGAGUCUGUAUCGAACAAGGAACUCCUGAAUUCAAACUGAAUCAUUGCUCCUACCUGCUCCUUCCUCCCUGCUCUCUAUUCCCCAUUGCUCGUGCUGCUAACAAAUACUCACCGUAGCUGUGACUAAUUUUUCUUUUUUCCCCCAGCCUUUUCAUUUCUGGACAUCUGUUAUUGUAUUUGUACUGGUUCACAUACUAGUCAUGUUUGGCACAAUGUUCUUGUC